UGAAAACCUCACUCAGGUCUUGCGGAUUAGGAAAACGCUACCCCUCGAGAUGAAAGAAGAAAUGAUAAACAACUUGAAAAAGAACUGGAUGUCUUCGCCUGGGAACACGAAGAUAUGGUGGGAAUUGACCCAAGGGUCAGCUGCCACCACCUUAACAUCAAUUCAUCUUGCGCCCCACAUUGGCAAAAAAGACGAGCCCUCAACUCAGAGCGAUAUGAAGUGCUCAAAGAAGAAAUCGACAAAUUAAGCUGCAGCGACUUUAUCAGAGAAGCCAUCUAUCCGAAGUGGAUAUCUAACUCAGUCCUCGUAAAGAAACGUAGUGGGAAAUGGAGGGGGUGUGUGGAUUUCACAAAUCUAAAUAAGGCAUGUCCUAAGGACAGUUUCUCUCUCCUAGGGAUAGACCAACUGGUAGACUCCACUGCUGGACACGAGCUCCUGAGCUUCAUUGAUGCAUACCCAGGAUACAACCAGAUACCCAUGAUCUGACCUGAUGAGGAAUCCACAUCGUUUAUCACAGACAGAGGAUUGUAUUGCUACAAGGUGAUGCCUUUCGGAUUGAAAAAUGUCGGAGCUACAUAUUAGAGGCUGGUCAAUAUGAUGUUUGCCGAGCUCAUUGGCAAAACUAUGGAAGUCUACGGGGACGACAUGCUAGUUAAGAGCCUCCAGGCGAAAGAACACGUAAGUCACCUCGACCAGACCUUUCAGAUUCUUAGAAAGUAUAAAAUGAAGUUGAACCCUCUCAAGUGCACCUUUGGGGUAGCUUCGGCCAAUUUUUAGGGUAUAUUGUGAACCAAAGAGGAAUCGAAGCAAAUUCGAAAAAGAUAAGGGCCUUAUUAGAAAUGAGGUCACCUCAGAAGUCAAAGAAGAUCCAAAGCCUCAACGGCCGGAUAGCCGCACUCAGCUGCUUCAUCUCUAGGGCCACUGACAAGAGCCUGCCAUUCUUCAAAGUCUUGAAGUAAGGAAAUAAAUUUCAAUGGACGAAUGAAUGCGAGGAAGCCUUCCAAGUGCUGAAGAAUCACUUAGGAGACGCACCUCUACUAUCCAAACCUGAACCACGGGAACCCUUGCUGCUGUACUUAGUGGUCUCAGACGAGGCUGUCAGUGCAGUCCUUGUCAGAGAGGAAAACACGCAUCAACUGUUGGUGUACUAUGUUAGCAAGGCACUACUCCCAACAGAGACGCGCUACCCAGUUAUUAAAAAGCUUGCACUCUCUCUUGUUACAAUAUCAAGGAAAUUGAGGCUAUACUUUUAGGCCCAUUCGAUUGAAGUGCUCACCAACUUCCCCUUGAAGCAAGUAUUGCAGAGAACAGACGCUUCAAAUCAUUUGCUAAAAUGGGCAAUCGAACUCAGCGAGUUCGACCUAUUGUUCCGACCCCGAAACACAUCAAGGGCCAAGCCUUCACAGAUUUUGUAGCUGGGUUCGCCAAAGCCCCAGAAAUGAAGGCGACAAUGGAACCAGCCGAGCCCCCAACAUGGAAUCUAUUUGUGGAUGGAUCGUCAGGAGAGACUAGCUCGGGAGCAGGAGUUGUUUUGGAAAGCCUAAAGGGCCAUAGGCUAAACUGCGCAGUCAUAUUUAACUUCAAAGCCUCAAACAAUGCUGCGAAAUAUGAGGCCCUCCUAGCAAACCUUAGACUAGCGAAAGAAAUGCAAGUCAGAAGGCUUCUAGCAAGUAGCGACUCACAACUUGUGGUAAGUCAGGUCAAAGGAAAGUUUGCAGUCAAGGACAGUGGCAUGUCUGCAUAUCUGAAAUUGGUUCUUAACCUAGUCCCUCACUUCGAGAGAUUCGAACUAGUUCAAGUCCCACACCUCUAAAAUACACACGCUGAUGCCCUGUCCAAAUUAGCCAGCAGCAAAGAUUUGGAGUCGCUAUUUGUCCCAAUUGAGCGCCUACCAAAGCCCUUCAUAUCUGGAGAUGAAGAGGUACUAUGGAUUGAAGGCACCCUAUUUUGGAUGCAACCUAUCGUAGCCUUCCUCAAAGAUCAAUCACCAUCAGCCUCGAAAAGUGAGGAGAAGAAAUUGAGAAGGAGGGCAACUCACUUUGUUCUCCAGGAUGAUGUGCUCUACAAAAGUGGUUUCGCCUCGCCACUUCUCCGAUGCAUGGGAGGGGAAGAAGCCAUGUAUAUACUCAGGGAGAUCCAUGAGGGAGUCUGUGGUAACCACUCCGGAGGAACAGCUCUCGCGCACAAAGUACUUCGACAAGGCUACUUCUGGGCGAUCCUGAAAAAGGACUUUGCCAGUUUGUCCAAAAAUGUGACAAGUACCAGCGCUUCUCAAACAUUCAAAGACGGCCUUUUCAGAGCCUCUCCGUGGUCACUAGCCCGUGGUCGUUCGUCAAGUGGGGCAUAGACUUUAUUGGCCCGCUUCCAAAAGGAAGAGAAAGCGCUAUUUGUGUCAUUGUUGUCAUUGACUACUUCACCAAGUGGGUUGAAGCUGAACCUCUACCAAAAAUCACUGAAGUGAACACUACCAAAGUUCGUCUGGAAAAACGUCAUUUGUAGGUUCAGCAUUCCUCACUCUUUAGUGUCUGAUAACAGAAGGCAAUUCGACAACAAAAAGAUGCGAGACUUGUGUGACGAACUCAGCAUAAGGAAGGACUUCUCAACACCUCAUCACCCCCAAGAAAACGGGCAGGUUGAGGCAGUGAACAAAACUAUCAAGCAUACCCUGAAAAAGAAGCUUGACGCAUCGAAAGGGGCAUGGGUCGAUGAACUUUUUCAUGUUGUCUGGGCCAUUCGAAUGAUCAGCCGAAUUGCAACAGGUAAAACACCCUUCUCCAUAACCUACGAAUCCAAAGCCAUGAGUCCUGUCGAGGUGGGUGUCCACUCUCAUCAUCGGACACAUUUCAAUAAGAUCAACAAUGACGAAGCUCGAGUGCACGAACUUUACCUCCUUAAAGAAAGGAGGGAUUCCUCUCAAAUAAAAUUGGCUACGUAUCAAAGAAAGAUGACCCAUUAUUACAACUCUAAGGUCAAAAAUCGAACUCCUCGUGUGGGGGACCUCGUCCUCAGAAGGGUCUUCCAAUCAUCGAAGCUAACUGGGUCCAUAGUGUUUGGACUGAACUGGGAAGGUCCUUAUCACAUCCGCAAGGAGUCCUAACCCGACACUUAUGAAAUCGAAGACAUUGUAGGAAAGGUGCUACCUUAUCAGUGGAACAUUGAACACUUGAGGAAGUACUAUCAGUGACGCAUAUGUUCCGAUCUGAUCUAUAUUUUGUCCAGUUUUAUAGCAUCCUAAGCGAUGAAACUGCCUGUGAACGAUAGUUCCUAUGUUAUAAUGCCACCCUUCAUUAUUUAUGUGGGUUAAUCAAUUGGUCUCAGUUCUUCUGUGCUUUAUUUGGGUCAGCUCUUCUAUAAUCGAUUGGUUAUUAUUGGUAAGUGAUGCUUAAUAUACUUUGCUCGACACAAAUAGUUCAACAUAAAAUUAAAGGGAAAAGCAACAACACUUGCAAAAAUUUU
Molecule: long non-coding RNA, 3456 nt
Filed under: Olea europaea subsp. europaea
Lineage: Eukaryota; Viridiplantae; Streptophyta; Magnoliopsida; Lamiales; Oleaceae
Source: RNAcentral